RNAcentral lists this ribosomal RNA (895 nucleotides) under uncultured bacterium. RNAcentral's name for it is "bacterial SSU rRNA". It matches the Rfam family "Bacterial small subunit ribosomal RNA", at positions 32 to 917 of the family's 1533-position model. The record is from RNAcentral.
AACGCUAGCUACAGGCUUAACACAUGCAAGUCGAGGGGAAACGACAUCGAAAGCUUGCUUUUGAUGGGCGUCGACCGGCGCACGGGUGAGUAACGCGUAUCCAACCUGCCCACCACUUGGGGAUAACCUUGCGAAAGUAAGACUAAUACCCAAUGACGUCUCUAGAAGACAUCUGAAGGAGAUUAAAGAUUUAUCGGUGAUGGAUGGGGAUGCGUCUGAUUAGCUUGUUGGCGGGGUAACGGCCCACCAAGGCAACGAUCAGUAGGGGUUCUGAGAGGAAGGUCCCCCACAUUGGAACUGAGACACGGUCCAAACUCCUACGGGAGGCAGCAGUGAGGAAUAUUGGUCAAUGGGCGAGAGCCUGAACCAGCCAAGUAGCGUGCAGGAUGACGGCCCUAUGGGUUGUAAACUGCUUUUAUAAGGGAAUAAAGUGAGUCUCGUGAGACUUUUUGCAUGUACCUUAUGAAUAAGGACCGGCUAAUUCCGUGCCAGCAGCCGCGGUAAUACGGAAGGUCCGGGCGUUAUCCGGAUUUAUUGGGUUUAAAGGGAGCGUAGGCCGGAGAUUAAGCGUGUUGUGAAAUGUAGACGCUCAACGUCUGCACUGCAGCGCGAACUGGUUUCCUUGAGUACGCACAAAGUGGGCGGAAUUCGUGGUGUAGCGGUGAAAUGCUUAGAUAUCACGAAGAACUCCGAUUGCGAAGGCAGCUCACUGGAGCGCAACUGACGCUGAAGCUCGAAAGUGCGGGUAUCGAACAGGAUUAGAUACCCUGGUAGUCCGCACGGUAAACGAUGGAUGCCCGCUGUUGGUCUGAAUAGGUCAGCGGCCAAGCGAAAGCAUUAAGCAUCCCACCUGGGGAGUACGCCGGCAACGGUGAAACUCAAAGGAAUUGACGGA